This is a long non-coding RNA of Gallus gallus (chicken), 7459 nucleotides long. RefSeq lists it as uncharacterized. The record is from RefSeq and is a predicted model, not a curated record. NCBI's taxonomy places the organism in Eukaryota, Metazoa, Chordata, Aves, Galliformes, Phasianidae. The transcript is spliced from 4 exons.
UUCCUGCUUCGCUCCUUGGCUUUGGGCCCUGCAGGGCAGGAAAUCUGCACAGCAGGAGGAGUUCAGAUGGCUGAGGUGCACGUGGAGGCCUCCAUCCAAAGACUGCAGGCUGCUUCCACAUCGGCAGGGCAAGGCGUGGGGGACUCAUGGGAGCUUUUCCUGCAGUUCGCAGCGCAACAGCACUGUGGAAGAGCGCCAGCUGGAACUGCCAUCUGAGCUGGGUGCCGUGCUGAGCCACCAGGACUCGUUGGACUUCAGAAACAGAAGGACUGGGAACAAAGGUAACUUCAGCGCAGUAGCGGAACCCAGCUUCCCUCCCCAUUGCUUUUCCCCAUUUCUCCUCUAUAUCCUUCUUUUCCUUUGUGCAGGGGACAAGUGGUUGCUUUAUUGCUCCAAAAGUGCGUGUUGAAAGGAGAGAAAAAACAUGUAGUUUCUGGUAGAAAUAUCGAGAACAAGAAAACUGAAUAUACAAAGCUAAAAUAAGCAGAAGUACAACUUCUAUAAAUAUCACGCGUAGCUAGGGAUGAAGAGAAUAGGAAGAAGAUGUUGACAGAAGUGAAGCAAGAAUUUUGGGGUGGGAUACAAAACGAUAUGAGACAAAACAUGAGCCUCUGGGCUGCCCUUCCCUGCGUGGCUCAUUGCAUGUCACUCUGGUAGCCCAGCAAUUGUCUGCUCUCCAGUGCUUUGACAGAACUGGGAGGUCUCUUCUGCAGUCCCUCGUGGCCAAUCCAGCGUAGUGGGUAAGAAAGCAGCAUCAGAAGAGCUAGUGCACUUUGGAGUUGCUUGUGUCAAAAGAUCAAGUCCUACCUAGGCUUCUUCCAGAAUCCCAAACGUGGUCAGAGUGUAGCAGUGAAGUAAAUUUUACCUUCUGGCCAACUGUUAGCUCUGUGUUUAGCGUUAAAUUCUUGCUGACUUCAGUCAGAAACUGGUUUUCUUUGCCGCCACACCCCCCCCUUUUCCUCCCCCCCCAUUGUAGUUAGUGAGACAAGCACCAGGCUCAGAGCAAGCUGAGAGAUGCCUGCUGCUGGGCGGCCAGCAGGAGCUGUGGAGCAUCUCUCCCAUGGUGUGAACCACUUUGGUUUAGAUCUGAUAUUUUCUGCUCAAGUGGUGUAUGUGAACAAGCAGGAUCCCAAUGCAUUUCCAGUAUUUUCAGCUUGGGAAAUUCGCAGUAAGACCAUUUUUUUUCCUGUAAAUCCUCUUGUUGCGAAGAUUGGUUUUUGUGUUGUGGCAUGCCCUGGGGGAAAAAGGGAAGUUUGUAAGUAUUUCAGGGGUUUUAACAGUGUUACUUCAAACUGCAUACUAUCCUAAUAGCUACUUGCAAAGUUCUUGUUUAUUUGGGAACGACCUGUAUCGCAUCCAUAAAACCAUUAAUGUUUAACACUAAAAUAUCUUGAGAAGAUUUUAUUAAGGAUUUGUUUUUUCUGUUGAUCUUUCUGAAAAUAGCUUUUGAGCCCCUUUUGGCUCUGACUUUCCUGGCCCGCAGCUGUUGUCUUCCAACUAUAACAAAUGCACACUGCACCUCCUGAGGUCUUACUUGGAGCCUAAGUGGAAAAAUAACCCUUAGUGAAAUCCCGUUAGAGAUGUGUUGUGCUCCAUCUGUGGAGCUGGGGUAUCAGAAGUGUGAAAGAAGGUUAUUCUUUGGUUCCUGCGGGGGAGCAAGACUUGUCUUGUCUAGAGUUGCCUUCUAGGAACCAUGUCAGUAAAGAAGAAUGCUGGCUCUUCCCACUUUCUCAAUUUUCAGAUCACGUUUGUCAGCCUUAUAGUGAAAGGAUACUAAACUGAGUAUACAAAACUUGCAAGAUGGGAGUGAUCAGCUGGCCAGCGUCGAAGGGAUGGAUUUGUAUUCGUGUCUCAGCAGUGCAAGCAUAAUGGUAAUGUUCAGGUACUUGGGCAAAGCAAUGACAUGGGCAGUGCCAGGGCUCUGACUGUGGAUCAGUGACAAUUCGCUCUCCCUCCUCCCCUCCACUUUUUCCUUCAUUCAACCAAGCAGCAUAAGUGCUUAUUGCUGCAGAAUGUAAGUGCUGCCUUGCAACAACCACAUGCAACCUAGGGUACAGGCUUUUUUGGUAUAUACAAAAACCAUCUUGUUAUUAUGACUGUCUUCGUCUAAGUAUGCUACUCCCAGAGAAGAGUUACCAUGUUCUUAGGGCUCAACGCACACUGCCAUCAGACACUGCACAGCAGAAUUGUCCUUUUGCUGGCACAGCCUUCAGUUUCAGCCUGAGUAGCAGCUCAUCUGGCGUUUGUCUUCACAUGUGAGAGAAAAACACCAAGACAAUUGCUCUCUGCAAGUCAGAGAGCUGUUCAGAUGAGCUGGGGUAUCUGGAUGUCUAAGCAAACCUGCAUCAAAGUACAGAAUGCCUUAGUGCCGUGUUAUUUGUGUUUUUGCUUUUCACGUGUUGUCUUGCAACAGCAGGGGGUGUUUGCUCCAGGGCUGUGGUUUCCUGGUGCAUGUUGUACCUUACCGUGGUUCGUGGUCACUCUGGUGGGUAGGAGCAGAGGAGCCCAGCUGGGAUUGCCAGCUCUGAAGUGUUUGAGCUUCCUCAGCAAAGCCUGCAUCAGCCUGAAGCGCACAUAGCUUCUCUCCUGGAGGAGACUAUGUGAAGAGGUGGGAGAAGGGGAAGAUAUAUCCCUACCUGGAGUAUAGGAAAGGGCACUGAGAAAACACCUGUAAAGGAAGGAAUCUAAGCAGGGCCAGCAUUCACGGUGCCAGGCUUCAGACACUUGGAACACAGGGUGUUUGGGCUGUGUAAUAGAUCUUCUGUUGGAGCAAAAGCAAGUAAAUGUGUUCUAAGGGCAUGGGUGAGGGGUGGAGAUAGUAACUCAAAACAUGUGCAAGGAAAACACAAAGAUGAGAUCAGCUGUGAGGGAAGGAGGCCAAAGUCUGGGUAAAAGUGGAAAAGAAAUGAGGGAGGCAGAAUAGGGAAAGUUAUCCCGCCUGCUUUGACAGUUCAGGGACUAAAGCCACUGUACAUGUCAACGGUUUAAUGCAAGCAAUGGAUCAGAAACUAUGUUUGUGUGAAGUAAACUGAAGUGACUCUGACAUCCACACCUGUUACAAAAUGAUGGCGCUCUUCCUGGAAUGGAAAGGGAAGUUCACACACUGGAGAGUGGUAGUGGUAUAAAAAGUAGUAGAAGGGAGGGCUUUAUUACUCUCCUAGUCAUCCUUAACCCUUUUCUGAUGGAAAAUGUUGCAUCAACUUAACAACUGUUCUCCUGCUGUGCAUCCUGGGUGAGGGAGAGUGCGUGACGCCUGCGGCACAGCCUUGCCGUGGGUCCUGCAGGGAGCCAGCAUGGGACAAAGCAGAAUGGUGAGGGGCCUGGAGACCUUUCACGGCUGUGCCUGAAGCCCUGGUGGAAAGAUAGACAGGAGAAGAGCUGGUAAUGCUAUUUUCUACACCAGAGUGCCAAGAUAGUGUAACAAGUAAUUUCUGUAACAGCCAGAUGUGACAACAGCAGGAGCAGCAACUGGAAGACGCACAGUGCAUCUGGAUAAGGGAAUUUUACAUCUUUGUUUUGGUCACUGUUAAUUUCUUCCUGUUCUUAAUAAUCAUGCUGUCAAAUGCCCCUUCCUUUCAGCAAGUGGGUGUGCAAGGAGCCACGUCGGCAGCCACGUGCGUGUGUGAGGAGCUGGUUGUAUCUCACAAACCAAUCUGGAGGAGUAAAGUGAAGAUUUGCAUGGCCACCAAGUCAGGCUGUGGGGCAAUUUUGAUUUAAUUGUGUGCCAUAUAUGGCAACGGGUAUCAUUGUAUUUUUCAGCUUAGCUUUUUCUAACAGUUUUAGGUACCUCAUGUGGGGAAAGCAGUAUCUUUUAAAGAAUGCAUUCUAUAUUUGGUAAUGAUUCAAGGCACGAAUGUGUCUGAAGGAAAAAGGCUUUUCAAGUGGAGUGCUGCUGGCUCAAAGGUUCCCCAGCAAACUCUGCCGGGCUCUGCCUCUGAGCCGGGCUGCCCUCUCCCUGGCCCGAGCCUUGAGGGAUCAAUUCGGAAACUGUUUGACACUCUGCACGAUAUUCUUCAAUGGCCUCUUUCUUCUCUGGAAGAAAGAUGCAUGGAAAUGUCAGAGAGAAUUAACAGCUGGGAUGAGUGGGUGGCAAGGACUGAAAACUGUACGGAGACGAUUGAGAGGGGCACUGUCCCACAAGGAAGCAGCUACUAAUACUGCACAGGUGGGUUUGAAAAUAUUGGUUUGGUUUUGUUUUGAAGCAUAAUACAGCCUUAAAUUAAAAUUAAAAAAAAAAAAAAAGUGGAAAUGAAAAGUGGAAAAACGAGUUCUGAACAGGCUCUAAUCUCCAGCCAGUAUCUUGGCAAUAGCACUGAUUGACAAAAUGUUGAGAGUGGCUUCUGUUAACAUUCAGACUGAAAAGCACCUGGUUGGAUGUAAUGUCCAGGACUGUUAUGAUACACUUCCUAUGCACGAAUGUGUGGAAUGGCCCAAUGUGGGGUGCCUGGGCCCGGCGGUGGCUCUGCGGUGGGCUUUGCAGCUCCCCUUCAGAUGCUGAAGCACCCAAGGGCACGCUGAGCUGCUGUGGGAUUUGGAGCCGCUGGAGGACCCACAGCGAUGCCUUCCAUUGUUUGGCUUCUGCAGAGCUACAGUUUUCCUUUGGCAUCCAAGAGAGAAGAGAUGUCAGACAGUUGAUACCAGAGCUGCCACCUGACUCGUCGCUGAAUGCCAAAGCACGCCUCUGUGUUCUACUUAACACUGUGAGAUCCUGUCUCCAUUAAAUCUUCUGGAGUUCUGCCACGGAUUAGAAGACGAUUUACCCUUCAUUUGUAAGUAAUUAAGAUGAUAGUGGAGUUUCUGAAUUUUCCAACUUUCUGAGAACAAACUAAUAGCAGUGAUCCACUUCAAUAAUUCAAAUAUUAAUCGAGGCGUGAGAAACAAUACAUCAAAAAAUAAUUAAGCUUAUGUUAAUUAAUUUUUAGAAAUAGGAAGGACACCUGAGGCAAAGUGCAGACAUUGGCAAGUGUCUUUAGAUUGGGAAGGCUGUCUAGAGCAGUCCUGAAACGAAAACGGGUCAGAAGGACCACGAAUGAUGUGCAGCAGGGUCUGAGAAGUAACGUAAUUAUGGGAUUGUCAGUGAGAUGCAAAAAAGGCAACAAAGAUGUAUGGGCUUUUCCAUAGCAGCCAGAGGUGAAUCAGCAGUUAAAGGUAUCUACUGUUAUUUUAUGUCAGCACCAUCAGUGCGUUAAUUGUUGUCAUUAUCAAGGCUCAAACGUGUAUCUUCCAGUCUUAAGCUGAACUACUGACAGUGCUUUUACUGAGGUGUUUCUUAGAUAAAAUUUAGUAAAGUAUCAGCUUUUUUCCUUACAGGUUUCUACAGCUGUAACUGGAAUUUCACAUCUCACCCAGGCUUCUCUUCCUUGGUAUUUCUGAUAUAAUUCUCCUCCUCUGUGGUAUUUACUGCAGGAAAAGAAAGCUGAACCUACGUGUUACCAUGGUCCAAAUUUUAAAAUUUUACUUCUCUGCACUGUGAAGACAGAAAAAUCCGCAAUGAACCAUGAAACUUUCCACUUCCUCUUUAAAAGUUAAUAAGUUAAAGGCACAAACCUCAUUUGUUCUGCUGCUCUUCAUGCUCAUGCCUACUUUUAAUGGCAUUAUGCUUGCAGCAAAAGCCACAAAGGUUUUAUGUGCCACCAUGGGCAUGCCAGAAAGUAUGCUGAGCAACACGGGCUCCUCGCAGGAGGAGAGCAGAUGGGGGUCUGCCACCAGUGGCCCUGAGAGCUGCCAGAGCGAGCAGGGAAUGCAGCUGGAUUGUAACCCCAAGCCUCUUUCUCCUAGAGGGAGCCACAGAGUCCUGUUUGAUCUCGCUUGGGCAACUUGAAUUCAGAUUGAAGUGACGUUAUUUUUAGGAAUCUCUCAUCCCUCUAAAAAUAUUUCCUUUCAGAGUAUAUAAUUCCUGCUAUUAAGUUUUCAAAUUUUCAGUAAACAUAUGUGCGUAUAUAUAUAAUUUGCCACUCUCUUUCAUUUCCACAACAGCCUAAUUUCCUGCUAUUGGUAUUAUUAAAAGUAAAAUGCCAAAUUGGAAGUGAGACAGAAUUAUGCCAGACAAGAAGUACAUAACAACCCCCUUUUUUUUCUUAAUCUUUUUCAGGUGAAUCUAUAUUUAUUUCCAAUCCAACCUUGUGACAGGCUACGGAGAAGGAUCCUUAGAGACCGUAUUACUGAUUCUGCAAGUCAUGGUUAUAGGUUUUUUUUCCCCUGAACAGUUAUCUGAAGGAUCCUAUGUUUUGCUUUUUCCCAAUUAUUUCUGUAAUUUAACUAUAUCUGCUUCAGUGAUCCUGAAGGAUAGGACUUACGCUUAAAGAGGAUACUGAUGGGGUCCAACUGUGUUAUGUUUUAGGAAGCUUUAAAAAUAGGUGUUUCUGAUUUAAGUGAGGUGAAAUGAAAGAGUUAUCUCUCUACAGUGACAUUACCUGCUAAGUGACAACUUAUCAGCUUUGUGUGCCUAUCUGAUUUUUCUCAUUGUCUUUCUUCAAGUAGGGAAGAGAUCAGAUGAAUGUUUCCUCUUUGAAAGUAACAGAUUUUGUUAAUUAAAAAUGUUCUUAGGUGAAAUAAGUUGCCAACGGAAUAAAAAACACACACAUUUUACAGAGUAGAUGUUACUACCAUACUCUUUAUUUAAAAGUACACACAAAUAAAAACAAGACAAUACAAUUAAUGGGGGAAAAAACAUACGUAGCACACUGAAGUUCUUUAGUUGCACAGUUUAACGCUAUAGAAAUUACAACCAGCAGAAUUAGUUUUCACUAACGUUACAGAUAGUUCCUGUUUACUGGGUCAAAUACUAAAAGAUCCUCAUGGACUUUGGCAAUUGGCACAAAGUACAAAAAUAAUGUCACUUAGGAAGCUACAGCUGUAAUGAAUGAGGAAUAAUUUCUGACUAAAAUGCAACAUGACUCUUUUCAUCCUAAUUGCUUAAAAAAAUUGUAAAUAAAAUGACUAGGCAAUAAAAAAUGUUUAUGAUGACUGUUCUCACACACAGGCAUGUGCAGAGCUUGGACAGAUCUCCUGUUGGCCUCAUUCUUUGAAGAUCUGUCACCAGUGUUUGAGAAGAGUCAUGGCCUUUAGAUGUGUGCAUGGACUGGGUGAUUAGACUACUUAUUCAUAGGUUCUUCCCCUUCUGCGGCUAGGCUGCAUGCCUCACAUCUUUGGUCAACUGCAGAAAGAAGCUGGAGCUGGUGUGUUACUGCUGUCAGCUGUACCGUCCACUAGUUUGAGAGGCCUUUCCUUAUCCUAUGAACAACUUCCACUGGAUGCAAGUGCUUCAAUGGAAUCAAAUGUCUCCCCUGUGAACAGCUGGAUCCAGGUACUGGAGAUUUCUCUUUGACCUUUCUUAAAUGGAGUUGCUUAAUUGAGACAUCCAGGCAGAAACCAAUACUUUUAGAAUUGCCUUCACCAUUUAAAAUAGGAAAACUGCUAAAAUCCAAUUUUACCCUUAAUAAAUAUUAUUUGCCCUUUA